Long non-coding RNA from Mirounga angustirostris (Northern elephant seal), 2853 nucleotides. RefSeq lists it as uncharacterized. NCBI's taxonomy places the organism in Eukaryota, Metazoa, Chordata, Mammalia, Carnivora, Phocidae. The transcript has 3 exons. The record is from RefSeq and is a predicted model, not a curated record.
GUGCGCUAACCCGCGCGUGCGGCCUUCGUUCCGUUCCAGUCCGACUCGGAGUCAGCCUCAGACUUGAAGUAACGCCCGGGGAAGGUAGAGACCAGAGAAAAGCUGACGACGGCGUGAAGUCUGUCGGUCGCCGUGGGGAGCGGAUCGGGGCGGUCCCCGAGGACGGAGUGAGAGGUAUAUGCGGAUGGUGAAAAUCUGUUUAUGGAGCACUAUGUGUUGGGCACUUUUAUAAGCACUUUACAUGGGGACCUACUGUAAUCCGCAGCUGUGCGGUUUGCACUACUAACAAGAGAAGUGAAGCACCGAGAUGCUGAGUGUCCUGCCCGAGGCUUCGUGUCUAGUAAGUGGAACCCGGAGUCCUGGCCCUGGUGAUAGAGGACAGCUGCAGAGACUGCCCUCCUUACUUGUUGCCCAGAAUGACCGAGAACUGACAUACAAGGGCCUAAGGCUUCCAAAACUCCUGAAAAAGUAGUGCGACCUCCAUGUUAAAGACCCGUUUCUCCAGCUGCCUCCUCUAAAGCUCCCAAGAGUGAGAGCUUAGGGGUCACAUAGCCCAAAGAGCCUGACCUGCCUGGGGACCCAGCGUCUAUGGGGAGCCUCUUCCAUUGCCACCCACAAACAUCUUCUGUACCCAUCACUUAUUGAUUCCCACCUCUCCCAAUGAAAAAUUUCCUUCCUUUGAAAAAUGUUCCUAUAGGGGUGCUCGGGUGGCUCAGUCGGUUAAACAGCUGCCUUCGGCUCAGGUCAUGAUCCCAGGGUGCUGGGAUCAAGUCCCGCAUCAGGCUUCCUACGCAGUGGGGAGCCUGCUUCUCCCUUUGCCUGCCGCUCCCCCUACUUGUGCUGUCAAAUAAAUAAAAUCUUUAAAAAAAAAUGAAAAAGGUUCCUAUAGUUUCUACCUCUGCCCCACUCCCGUUCUCCCACUUUGAGCUGCCCAUCCCGCCAUGCUGCACCUUUGACUCUCCACACGUUUCUUUUCAGUGGUCAUAUAAACAUACUCAUGCCAGACUCUUCAUUGGCCAGAUCAACACCUUGCUCAAACCUCCUUUGUUUUGCCUACCUCCACUUUAGAGGCUGGAAGAGUAUUUAUUUUUUCAGCCUCCUUUGUUACUGGCCUCCAUAUAACGCAGCUGUGGUCAGUGAGAUGUAAGCUGAAGUUUGCUGAGGGGCUUCUGGGACAACCUUUCUUGAUAAAAGGCACAGAUGUGCUGGUGCUUCCCAUCCCCGUUCUUCCUACCUUGAAUGCACAUACUUUACCUGAAGCAGAGCAGCCAUCAUGUGACCAUGGUGGAAAAGCCAUGGAACUAAAGACAUUGAAUUAAUUUUGUCUUUGAAACGAUGCCACCCACCUCCAGAUUUGUUAUGUGAGGGAAAAAAAAAAUCCCUGCUUGCUUGUAAGCCUUGUUAACUGGGCUUUCCAGUAUUUGUAGCCAUAAAUCUCUUCUGAUAGAUACACCCGCUCUCCAUGCUGGUCUCCCUCUAGUUAUCUUUCUCAGUGUCUCCUUUCUCAGGUAAGUGAAUGAGUCCUUUUCAGCCUUUAACUUACUCUUCAACCCACUAAUAUUUAACAGAGGUUAUCAGUAACCAAAACCAAAGGCCAUUUUUAAUUAUCUUACUUUAACCCUCCACGGCAUAUGAAAAUACUAACUAUUCUUACCUUAUGUGAAAUUCUUUUACUUUUGUGCCACCAUCUUCUAAUUUUUCCUUUUGCGUUUCAUUUUCGUUUUGGUUGCUGUUUCCUCUCAGCUCUCACUGGUUCCACUUCCUCCACUUCCCCCAUUCAGUGACAGUACUCUCAGAAUACCCUUCACACCUGCCCUGCCACUUAGUCUAGUGUCUGUCAGGAAUUUUCACUUGGAUUCCCACAGACUCAUUAAAAUGCCCCCAGACUGAACUUACCAUUUCCCCACAAAAUCGGUCAACUUUGUGUGUUCUUAAUUAUGGUACUCCAUCCACCCAAAUAAAUUCAGGUUCCUACAUUUAAUCAAUUACCACAUUAUCUAGAUUCUGCCUCAUUAUUGCUUGAAUUCUUCCUUUCCUCUCCCAUGCCACAGCCAGUGUUUUAGUUUAGCCCUUGAAAAGCAAAGAAUAUAUCUUAUCCAUUUUGAUCUUCUCAUCAUAUUUAUCACAUAUUUAGCACUUAUUAUGUGUGAAAUAAAUGAAAUUGUCUUAACUACUGUCAUCACUAGAGAUCUAUAAAACCUACGAUUGUUUUGAAUACAUUUUGAGUUGCAAAGAUUUUGUUAAUAUGUCACAUUUUCAUGUCUAUUAGUGUUUAACCCUUUCUCCUUUUCACUUUGAUACAGAGUAUGGUACAAAGAUACAUAUUUGAAUCCUAUGUACUUAGAGACUAUAUUUAAGUUAUACUGUUUUCUAAAUAAUUAGCUUACUUAACAGUAGUUUAAUGACUGUUAGUUGAGAACUCAAAAUAGCAUGCUAUUGCAUUAAGAUCUGUACAAUUGUUUCAUCACCCGGGUAGCAACCAGCCUAAGUUUUAGGGGAGAAAAUAACAGUGCAGGAGGAGGGGGAGGGACAUGGAUGGAUAAUACUAGGAUUUGGUAGAGGUAGAGAAUUUUGACUCAAAACAUCCAGGUAAACCAGAUUGUGAAAUAGGAGCAUCUAGGUAACAUUUAUAACAUGGUAAAAGAUCAAGGAUUUCCCAGUAUUGGUUAUAUUUAUAGGUUUAUAGCAUUUUAGAGCUAAUAGGGAUCCUGGAGACCUUCUAAAUUCAAAAUCCCUCAUUUACCAAAUAAGGACACUGUGACCUGGUGAAAGUAGGUGACUUGUCUAAGUUAGUGGCAGAUCAGGACUACAUACCAAGUCUUUGGGCUGUCCAGUUUAGCACUCUCACCUUUU